GUGGGGAAUAUUGGACAAUGGGCGAAAGCCUGAUCCAGCCAUGCCGCGUGUGUGAAGAAGGUCUUCGGAUUGUAAAGCACUUUAAGUUGGGAGGAAGGGCAGUAAGUUAAUACCUUGCUGUUUUGACGUUACCGACAGAAUAAGCACCGGCUAACUUAGUGCCAGCAGCCGCGGUAAUACGAAGGGUGCAAGCGUUAAUCGGAAUUACUGGGCGUAAAGCGCGCGUAGGUGGUUUUGUAAGUUGGAGGUGAAAUCCCCGGGCUCAACCUGGGAACUGCCUCCAAAACUGCAUGACUAGAGUACGGUAGAGGGUAGUGGAAUUUCCUGUGUAGCGGUGAAAUGCGUAGAUAUAGGAAGGAACACCAGUGGCGAAGGCGACUACCUGGACUGAUACUGACACUGAGGUGCGAAAGCGUGGGGAGCAAACAGGAUUAGAUACCCCAGUAGUCC
RNAcentral lists this ribosomal RNA (450 nucleotides) under uncultured bacterium. RNAcentral describes it as "partial 16S ribosomal RNA". It matches the Rfam family "Bacterial small subunit ribosomal RNA", at positions 354 to 796 of the family's 1533-position model. The record is from RNAcentral.